UGCGGCCGUUGGAUCUAAUCGGAGAGGUAGGCAGUAACGGUGGUGGAUGUUGGUGCUGGUUAGCGCCGUCACUGCAGCUGGCUGUUCGAGCUGCUCCGCCGUCUCUGCCACCGGAGAAUGUAGCUCAGUCGCCGGAGAACUCUGUCGUUGAUCCACCAGAGCUUCUGGCCGCCGCCGGAGCUGUUGCCAGGGCCGGUUCAAAAUUGCAGCUGCUUCGUGUUGAAAUUCCGAGCUGUCUAUGCUGCUGCG
Arachis ipaensis is the source of this 249-nucleotide non-coding RNA. The record is from RefSeq and is a predicted model, not a curated record. NCBI's taxonomy places the organism in Eukaryota, Viridiplantae, Streptophyta, Magnoliopsida, Fabales, Fabaceae.